UAUUAAAAAUUCAUCCAUUUCUAUUAUUAAAAAUUGGUGUAGCUAACUGAAUAACCAGACAGUUAUGCAUGAUGUGCCACGUGUACUUCAUACUAACAUAUGGAGAUUUUUUUUUUAAUAUUAGAAAUAGAUGUAAUUUUUAAUA
Molecule: microRNA precursor, 145 nt
Filed under: Gossypium arboreum
Lineage: Eukaryota; Viridiplantae; Streptophyta; Magnoliopsida; Malvales; Malvaceae
Description: MIR7502 microRNA precursor family
Rfam family: MIR7502 microRNA precursor family
Source: Rfam by way of RNAcentral